CAGCCAUAUCACAUUGAAACAGCGGUUCCCGUAUGAGCCACAAAGUAAAGCAACGUCAAGCCUUGUUAGUACCUAGAUGGGUGACCGCUAGGGAAAAUCAGGUGCUGUAA
Non-coding RNA from Acanthosepion pharaonis, 110 nucleotides. The record is from the annotation of a GenBank genome assembly. Lineage: Eukaryota; Metazoa; Mollusca; Cephalopoda; Sepiida; Sepiidae.